This 747-nucleotide ribosomal RNA is filed under the name Salipaludibacillus sp. RNAcentral describes it as "bacterial SSU rRNA". It matches the Rfam family "Bacterial small subunit ribosomal RNA", at positions 28 to 739 of the family's 1533-position model. Lineage: Bacteria; Bacillati; Bacillota; Bacilli; Caryophanales; Bacillaceae. The record is from RNAcentral.
GACGAACGCUGGCGGCGUGCCUAAUACAUGCAAGUCGAGCGCAGGAAGCAAGCGGAUCCCUUCGGGGUGAAGCUUGUGGAAUGAGCGGCGGACGGGUGAGUAUCACGUGGGCAACCUGCCUUGCAGACUGGGAUAACUCCGGGAAACCGGGGCUAAUACCGGAUGACCAUUUGGAUCGCAUGAUCCGGAUGUAAAAGUGGGGAAUUUAUUCCUCACACUGCGAGAUGGGCCCGCGGCGCAUUAGCUAGUUGGUAAGGUAAUGGCUUACCAAGGCAACGAUGCGUAGCCGACCUGAGAGGGUGAUCGGCCACACUGGAACUGAGACACGGUCCAGACUCCUACGGGAGGCAGCAGUAGGGAAUCAUCCGCAAUGGGCGAAAGCCUGACGGUGCAACGCCGCGUGAACGAUGAAGGUUUUCGGAUCGUAAAGUUCUGUUAUGAGGGAAGAACAAGUGCCGGUCAAAUAGGCCGGCACCUUGACGGUACCUCACGAGAAAGCCCCGGCUAACUACGUGCCAGCAGCCGCGGUAAUACGUAGGGGGCAAGCGUUGUCCGGAAUUAUUGGGCGUAAAGCGCGCGCAGGCGGUCUCUUAAGUCUGAUGUGAAAGCCCACGGCUCAACCGUGGAGGGUCAUUGGAAACUGGGAGACUUGAGUGUAGGAGAGGAAAGUGGAAUUCCACGUGUAGCGGUGAAAUGCGUAGAUAUGUGGAGGAACACCAGUGGCGAAGGCGACUUUCUGGCCUACAA